Non-coding RNA from Pelobates cultripes (western spadefoot toad), 452 nucleotides. The record is from the annotation of a GenBank genome assembly. Lineage: Eukaryota; Metazoa; Chordata; Amphibia; Anura; Pelobatidae.
AGACAGUUCAUAAUGGCAUUACCAGACUCUAGUAAAUCAAAAUGCCAGAAAGGACCUUCAAAUUAAAGGAGGAUGGAUCUGGAUACUGUCGGUGAGUGGUUGGUAUUCCGGCUGCCGGUGAGGACGGCGUGAUUCUGAGUGCACGUACCGAACAGGAGCCUCACUUUCGGGGACAUGCAAAACAGGCGACGCCAGUUACUGCUGUUACCAAAGGUCCUGCUUGGAAGGUUGAACUAUUGCUGGUGGAUGCGAUCUGUGUCUUGUCUUCGCUAUCUGCCUAACACGUUUCGUAGGAGGUGCACCCUACUUCAUCAGAGACAUGCUAUCGUACAUUGCUUCAGACAUACAUUAAAUACCCUUAGGGUUAAUUGACAAUAAAACACUCGUUCAUGUGUAAGAUUAUAUACAUAUCAAAUAUUACAAAUAAAAAGUAUAUACAGAUACAAUUGGAU